Long non-coding RNA from Aedes aegypti (yellow fever mosquito), 302 nucleotides. RefSeq lists it as uncharacterized. The record is from RefSeq and is a predicted model, not a curated record. NCBI's taxonomy places the organism in Eukaryota, Metazoa, Arthropoda, Insecta, Diptera, Culicidae. The transcript is spliced from 2 exons.
GAAACCUGAGACGCAGAAACUAGAGUGAAAAUAAUCCGUUGUUAAUCCAGCGAUCUGAACGAAUCUUCAAAAUCUGUGCUUGAUCGUAAUCCAUUGCAGUCAUUUUCCGUUGACGAAGGGCCGGAAUGGAAGUUUCGGCAAGUUCCCGGACAGCUGAAGACGAACAUGUAUUCUCCAAUGUUCGCAAGGACUAGACACAAACCAGAACCAGGGAGAGAAGGCGAAUCAGACGAAUCCGAUGUUUUCUUCUGUGUUCAUUGUUGAAGAUCCAAUAGUAAACAAUAACAACUCUCGUGAGGUUA